This 927-nucleotide long non-coding RNA is filed under the name Pan troglodytes (chimpanzee). Its description in RNAcentral is "lncRNA (ENSPTRG00000053808.1)". The record is from RNAcentral. Lineage: Eukaryota; Metazoa; Chordata; Mammalia; Primates; Hominidae.
UCCCCUAUCACCACGCCUGGUCCGCAGUGAUGCUCAAAAAAGAUCUGUUGGUAGGCAAUGCGAAGGUGCAUUCAUGUCAUCCUGCAGGAGGAAUUCUCCACGAGUUUUGAGCAGCCUCGGUUUUCCCACCACCUCCAAAUCAUGCAAGACACAGGGUAAGAGCAAAGACAAGGUGGCUGUGGCCCAUGUCCACCAUCUCGGGGCGUCCCUUCUCUUCUCUCCUCCUUGGGCAGGGAGACCAUCGGGGUGCAACCUGGCUGGGGCAGGGAGGAAGUGCAGGGCCUGGCCAGAGCGGGCCUGGCCACGGGCAAGGGACAGCGACCUCCUGGGCCAGGAUAGGUGAGAGCGGCGCAGGCCCGGGACCGGCGUAGGCCCGGGACCGGCGUGGCGGCGCUGCUGGUGAGCAGCCAUCAGAGGGCGCCAGAGAGCCAGGAGCGGCCUGCGGAGGAGCCCGCGCUGGCCCCGAUGCCCAGGUCCGCCCCGCGCGGACCCACCGAGCCCGCGCUCAGACGCCCCAGCUCCACCGAGAGGCCGCUUGCGCCGGGUCCUUCUUCUUCCCCAAGUGUAGGCAGAUCCACCGGAGUCAUGGCCAGGACUUCCGGCAGCUCCGAAGUCACUGGCAAGCCCCGAGGCAGGGAUGGCCUGCCAGGAGGGAGGAGGACGACGUCCCUCCCGAAGAGAAGAGGCUGCGGCUGUUGCUGGAGGGGGAAGCGCACAGCCCCAGGACUGCGAGGACGGGGAGGACGCGCCGCGGCCGGGAAGGGGGGAGACCGUCACUCAGACAGGUGGCGACGGCAGAGGGAAAUUUGUUUCAAUGAAGAAACUGUGGUAUACACACCCAGUGAAGUAUUAUUCAGCCUAAAAAGGAAGAAACUCCUCUCCGCUGCAGACAAAAUGGAUGAGAUUGCAGGCCUGUAUAUUAAAUGA